Molecule: unclassified non-coding RNA, 475 nt
Filed under: Cladosporium caprifimosum
Lineage: Eukaryota; Fungi; Ascomycota; Dothideomycetes; Cladosporiales; Cladosporiaceae
Description: sequence contains 18S rRNA gene, ITS1, 5.8S rRNA gene, ITS2
Rfam family: 5.8S ribosomal RNA (bases 145-298)
Source: RNAcentral
GUCUUACCACCGGGAUGUUCAUAACCCUUUGUUGUCCGACUCUGUUGCCUCCGGGGCGACCCUGCCUUCGGGCGGGGGCUCCGGGUGGACACUUCAAACUCUUGCGUAACUUUGCAGUCUGAGUAAACUUAAUUAAUAAAUUAAAACUUUUAACAACGGAUCUCUUGGUUCUGGCAUCGAUGAAGAACGCAGCGAAAUGCGAUAAGUAAUGUGAAUUGCAGAAUUCAGUGAAUCAUCGAAUCUUUGAACGCACAUUGCGCCCCCUGGUAUUCCGGGGGGCAUGCCUGUUCGAGCGUCAUUUCACCACUCAAGCCUCGCUUGGUAUUGGGCAACGCGGUCCGCCGCGUGCCUCAAAUCGACCGGCUGGGUCUUCUGUCCCCUAAGCGUUGUGGAAACUAUUCGCUAAAGGGUGUUCGGGAGGCUACGCCGUAAAACAACCCCAUUUCUAAGGUUGACCUCGGAUCAGGUAGGGAUA